Molecule: ribosomal RNA, 887 nt
Filed under: Russula brevipes
Lineage: Eukaryota; Fungi; Basidiomycota; Agaricomycetes; Russulales; Russulaceae
Description: eukaryotic LSU rRNA
Rfam family: Eukaryotic large subunit ribosomal RNA
Source: RNAcentral
AUUCCCCUAGUAACUGCGAGUGAAGCGGGAAAAGCUCAAAUUUAAAAUCUGGUGGUCUUUUGGCCGUCCGAGUUGUAAUUUAGAGAAGCGUCUUCCGCGCUGGACCGUACACAAGUCUCCUGGAACGGAGCGUCAUAGAGGGUGAGAAUCCCGUCUUUGGUACGGACCCCCAGGGCUUCUGUGAUGCGCUCUCGAAGAGUCGAGUUGUUUGGGAAUGCAGCUCAAAAUGGGUGGUGAACUCCAUCUAAAGCUAAAUAUUGGCGAGAGACCGAUAGCGAACAAGUACCGUGAGGGAAAGAUGAAAAGCACUUUGGAAAGAGAGUGAAACAGUACGUGAAAUUGUUGAAAGGGAAACGCUUGAAGUCAGUCGCGUCCGCCGAGACUCAGCCUCGCUCCGGCUUGGCGUAUUUCUCGGUCGACGGGUCAGCAUCAAUUUCGUCCCUCGGAUAAUGGCAAGGGAAAGGUGGCACCUUUGCGGGUGUGUUAUAGUCUUUUGUCGCAUGCGAGGGGUGAGAUUGAGGAACUCAGCACGCGCGCCCUCUGGGGUGUGUCGGGGCCUCGGCCCACGCCACGUGCUUAGGAUGCUGGCGUAAUGGCUUUAAACGACCCGUCUUGAAACACGGACCAAGGAGUCUAACAUGCCCGCGAGUGUUCGGGUGGAAAACCCGUGCGCGUAAUGAAAGUGAAAGUUGGGACCUUCGUCGUGAAGGGCACCGACGCCCGGACCAGACCUUCUGUGACGGAUCUGCGGUGGAGCGUGCAUGUUGGGACCCGAAAGAUGGUGAACUAUGCCUGAAUAGGGUGAAGCCAGAGGAAACUCUGGUGGAGGCUCGUAGCGAUUCUGACGUGCAAAUCGAUCGUCAAAUUUGGGUAUAGGGGCGAAAGAC